RNAcentral lists this unclassified non-coding RNA (346 nucleotides) under soil metagenome. RNAcentral's name for it is "partial contains 5.8S ribosomal RNA, internal transcribed spacer 2, and large subunit ribosomal RNA". The stretch from base 1 to 120 matches the Rfam family "5.8S ribosomal RNA", at positions 35 to 154 of the family's 154-position model. The record is from RNAcentral.
GAUGAAGAACGCAGCGAAAUGCGAUAAGUAAUGUGAAUUGCAGAAUUCCGUGAAUCAUCGAAUCUUUGAACGCAUAUUGCGCCCUCUGGUAUUCCGGGGGGCAUGCCUGUCCGAGCGUCAUUGCUGCCCUCAAGCACGGCUUGUGUGUUGGGCCUCCGUCCUCCUCCCGGGGGACGGGCCCGAAAGGCAGCGGCGGCACCGCGUCCGGUCCUCGAGCGUAUGGGGCUUCGUCACCCGCUCUUGUAGGCCCGGUCGGCGCUUUGCCGACACAUCAAUCUUUUUUCCAGGUUGACCUCGGAUCAGGUAGGGAUACCCGCUGAACUUAAGCAUAUCAAUAAGCGGAGGA